Molecule: small nucleolar RNA, 123 nt
Filed under: Microcebus murinus (gray mouse lemur)
Lineage: Eukaryota; Metazoa; Chordata; Mammalia; Primates; Cheirogaleidae
Description: Small nucleolar RNA SNORA70 (ENSMICG00000021401.3)
Rfam family: Small nucleolar RNA SNORA70
About the family: snoRNA U70 seems to be exclusive to mammals and is a member of the H/ACA class of snoRNA which contain H (ANANNA) and ACA box motifs. H/ACA box snoRNAs are involved in the conversion of uridines to pseudouridines (5-ribosyluracil) a constituent of structural RNAs (transfer, ribosomal, small nuclear, and small nucleolar).
Source: Rfam by way of RNAcentral
CUGCAGCCAAUUAAGCCUACCCUGCUACUUUCCUCAUGGGGGCCCGGUGUGCAAUGGCUGCAAACAGCAGCCUCCUUGAUAGUGUAUGCAGCCUGCUGCUAGUAUGGGACCUUGAAGACAGUC